CAGCAGGGGACCCCAUACUAAACACGUUCUCAUCUACAAUUUAAGGUAGCUAGAGCACCAGAGCUCAAAGUUCUCCCUACAUGAAUCAGCACAGGUGGCCCUUGGAAUAACCCUUUGAAACAUUUGAGAAACAUUCAGCAGAACAGCAGGUAAUUCCCCACAGUCAGAGAAGCAAAGGAAUGAUGGGUCUGAGCAGAGGGGACAAAGUGAAGCGGCCUAGCUGGGGUCUCUCUCCCAAGCUAGAUCUUGGCCAUGGUGGUGGAUGUGGGAAGGGAUGUGGAAAGAGAAGGCCAGGGGUCUUCUUACCAACAUGGGCCUAAUUUUCAGAAGGUCUGGUGGCAGCCUUCAUCUGCACCGCAGGGGGUCCCCCUCUAAAGACAGCUCCAGGACAUGGUCUCCCUCAGAAAAAUUCAUUGGGUAACCUGGGAAAGCAUCAAUAGAAC
Molecule: long non-coding RNA, 443 nt
Filed under: Sarcophilus harrisii (Tasmanian devil)
Lineage: Eukaryota; Metazoa; Chordata; Mammalia; Dasyuromorphia; Dasyuridae
Description: lncRNA (ENSSHAG00000032356.1)
Source: RNAcentral